GGCUGGGUAGCUCAACAGGCAGAGCGGAUCUCUGAAGAUGAUCAGGUUAUACGUUCGAGUCGUAUUCCAACCA
This 73-nucleotide transfer RNA is filed under the name Verrucomicrobia bacterium LW23. RNAcentral describes it as "tRNA-Phe". Lineage: Bacteria; Pseudomonadati; Verrucomicrobiota. The record is from RNAcentral.